AGGACGAACGCUGGCGGCGUGCUUAACACAUGCAAGUCGAGCGGAAAGGCCCUUCGGGGUACUCGAGCGGCGAACGGGUGGGUAACACGUGAGUAACCUGCCCUGGACUUUGGGAUAACCCUCGGAAACGGGGGCUAAUACCGGAUAUGACUUUUCCUCGCAUGGGGAUUGGUGGAAAGUUUUUCGGUCUGGGAUGGGCUCGCGGCCUAUCAGCUUGUUGGUGGGGUGAUGGCCUACCAAGGCGACGACGGGUAGCCGG
RNAcentral lists this ribosomal RNA (259 nucleotides) under uncultured bacterium. RNAcentral's name for it is "partial small subunit ribosomal RNA". It matches the Rfam family "Bacterial small subunit ribosomal RNA", at positions 26 to 290 of the family's 1533-position model. The record is from RNAcentral.